This 334-nucleotide unclassified non-coding RNA is filed under the name soil metagenome. RNAcentral describes it as "partial contains 5.8S ribosomal RNA, internal transcribed spacer 2, and large subunit ribosomal RNA". The stretch from base 1 to 120 matches the Rfam family "5.8S ribosomal RNA", at positions 35 to 154 of the family's 154-position model. The record is from RNAcentral.
GAUGAAGAACGCAGCGAAAUGCGAUAAGUAGUGUGAAUUGCAGAAUUCAGUGAAUCAUCGAAUCUUUGAACGCACAUUGCGCCCGCCAGUAUUCUGGCGAGCAUGCCUGUUCGAGCAUCAUUUCAACCAUCAAGCCCCAGGCUUGUGUUGGAGCCCUGCGGCUGCCGCAGCCUCCCAAAACCAGUGGCGGGCUCGCUAUCACACCGAGUGCAGUAGUUUACUCUUCGCUCAGGGCGUGUGGCGGGUGCUAGCCGUGAAACCCCCAACUUCUCAAGGUUGACCUCGGAUCAGGUAGGAAUACCCGCUGAACUUAAGCAUAUCAAUAAGCGGAGGA